UAAGUAAGCUUUGAUCCAGAGAUUUCCGAAUGGGGAAACCCAGCAUGAGUUAUGUCAUGUUAUCGAUAUGUGAAUACAUAGCAUAUCAGAAGGCACACCCGGAGAACUGAAACAUCUUAGUACCCGGAGGAAGAGAAAGAAAAUUCGAUUCCCUUAGUAGCGGCGAGCGAAACGGGAAGAGCCCAAACCAACAAGCUUGCUUGUUGGGGUUGUAGGACACUCUAUACGGAGUUACAAAGGACGACAUUAGACGAAUCAUCUGGAAAGAUGAAUCAAAGAAGGUAAUAAUCCUGUAGUCGAAAAUGUUGUCUCUCUUGAGUGGAUCCUGAGUACGACGGAGCACGUGAAAUUCCGUCGGAAUCUGGGAGGACCAUCUCCUAAGGCUAAAUACUCUCUAGUGACCGAUAGUGAACCAGUACCGUGAGGGAAAGGUGAAAAGCACCCCGGAAGGGGAGUGAAAUAGAACCUGAAACCGUGUGCUUACAAGUAGUCAGAGCCCGUUAAUGGGUGAUGGCGUGCCUUUUGUAGAAUGAACCGGCGAGUUACGAUUUGAUGCAAGGUUAAGCAGUAAAUGUGGAGCCGUAGCGAAAGCGAGUCUGAAUAGGGCGUUUAGUAUUUGGUCGUAGACCCGAAACCAGGUGAUCUACCCUUGGUCAGGUUGAAGUUCAGGUAACACUGAAUGGAGGACCGAACCGACUUACGUUGAAAAGUGAGCGGAUGAACUGAGGGUAGCGGAGAAAUUCCAAUCGAACCUGGAGAUAGCUGGUUCUCUCCGAAAUAGCUUUAGGGCUAGCCUCAAGUGAUGAUUAUUGGAGGUAGAGCACUGUUUGGACGAGGGGCCCCUCUCGGGUUACCGAAUUCAGACAAACUCCGAAUGCCAAUUAAUUUAACUUGGGAGUCAGAACAUGGGUGAUAAGGUCCGUGUUCGAAAGGGAAACAGCCCAGACCACCAGCUAAGGUCCCAAAAUAUAUGUUAAGUGGAAAAGGAUGUGGCGUUGCCCAGACAACUAGGAUGUUGGCUUAGAAGCAGCCAUCAUUUAAAGAGUGCGUAAUAGCUCACUAGUCGAGUGACACUGCGCCGAAAAUGUACCGGGGCUAAACAUAUUACCGAAGCUGUGGAUUGUCCUUUGGACAAUGGUAGGAGAGCGUUCUAAGGGCGUUGAAGCAUGAUCGUAAGGACAUGUGGAGCGCUUAGAAGUGAGAAUGCCGGUGUGAGUAGUGAAAGACGGGUGAGAAUCCCGUCCACCGAUUGACUAAGGUUUCCAGAGGAAGGCUCGUCCGCUCUGGGUUAGUCGGGUCCUAAGCUGAGGCCGACAGGCGUAGGCGAUGGAUAACAGGUUGAUAUUCCUGUACCACCUA
RNAcentral lists this ribosomal RNA (1359 nucleotides) under Staphylococcus aureus. Its description in RNAcentral is "partial 23S ribosomal RNA". It matches the Rfam family "Bacterial large subunit ribosomal RNA", at positions 89 to 1450 of the family's 2925-position model. Lineage: Bacteria; Bacillati; Bacillota; Bacilli; Caryophanales; Staphylococcaceae. The record is from RNAcentral.